AACUUUCGACAAUGGAUCUCUUGGCUCUCGCAUCGAUGAAGAACGCAGCGAAAUGCGAUAAGUAAUGUGAAUUGCAGAAUUCAGUGAAUCAUCGAACCUUUGAACGCAUCUUGCGCUCCUUGGUAUUCCGAGGAGCAUGCCUGUUUGAGUGUCAUUCAAGUUCUCAACCACACACUUUAUGUGUGGCUUGGAUUGUGGGGGCCUUUUGUUUUGCAGGCUUUUGAAAAUGAAGUCUGCUCCCCUGAAAUGUAUUAGUAGUAUCUGAGCGUACUGCAAGGUGUGAUAAUUUAUUCUAUGCCUUUUGGGUAUGCUGCAUGAGCACUGCUUCUAAAAACGAGAAACCAUGUUUGAUGAAUUUGACCUCAAAUCAGGUAGGACUACCCGCUGAACUUAAGCAUAUCAAUAAGCGGAGGCU
RNAcentral lists this unclassified non-coding RNA (415 nucleotides) under uncultured Inocybe. Its description in RNAcentral is "sequence contains ITS2". The stretch from base 1 to 154 matches the Rfam family "5.8S ribosomal RNA". Lineage: Eukaryota; Fungi; Basidiomycota; Agaricomycetes; Agaricales; Cortinariaceae. The record is from RNAcentral.